AGCCCUCAUCGCUCUCAUCAGAGGAGGGAGUAUCCUAAAGUGCUAGACGAUAUGAAAGGAAGAAAGAGAGAAAAGGGUGUUCCUUUCAGGUACACAGCAACAGCUCGACCGUGAGGCAGGCGAUAACAGGCUAUAAAUAGAGCUGUCGAGAGAUGACGUAAUGAAUUGACUUCCUUGACCUGCUGUGAACCUGACACGUCUCGUGACGCACUGUCAUACCCUACAUUGAAGUCUCAAGGUACAAAGUCUACAGGAAGCCGUCAAGUCAGAAGCUAUCAGGUUACGACGAUGUGUUGACGACGAUGUCAAUGAUGAAGACACUAAAGGUGAAGACUAGGUUUAUGGAUUACAUGUAUGCCGCAUGUUCAUGCACGUGAAGCC
This is a long non-coding RNA of Pomacea canaliculata, 381 nucleotides long. RefSeq lists it as uncharacterized. Lineage: Eukaryota; Metazoa; Mollusca; Gastropoda; Architaenioglossa; Ampullariidae. The transcript is spliced from 3 exons. The record is from RefSeq and is a predicted model, not a curated record.